UCCCGGGUUGAUCCCGCCGGACCCUACUGCUAUCGGGGUGGGGCUAAAACAUGCUUGUCGAACGUUUCCAAGCCAUGGAGGAAACGUGGCAUACGGCUCAGUAACACGUGGCCAACUAACCCUCGGGACAGAGACAACCCCGGGAAACUGGGGCUAAUCCCUGAUAGGCGAUAAAGCCUGGAAUGACUUAUCACCCAAAGGCCUCUUGACCAUGCUUAAGAGGCGCCCAAGGACAAAGCCGCGACCGAUCAGGCUGUUGGUAGGGUAAUGGCCUACCAAACCUAUAACCGGUACGGGCCGUGAGAGCGGAAGCCCGGAGAUGGAUACUGAGACAAGGAUCCAGGCCCUACGGGGCGCAGCAGUUGCGAAAACUCCACAAUGCACGAAAGUGUGAUGGGGCUACCCCGAGUGCCGUCCGCUGAGGAUGGCUUUUCUCUGCUGUAAGGAUGCGGAGGAAUAAGGAGAGGGCAAGUCUGGCGUCAGCCGCCGCGGUAAUACCAGCUCUCCGAGUGGUAUGGAUGAUUAUUGGGCUUAAAGCGUCCGUAGCCGGCUUGACAAGUCUUCUGUUAAAUCCAGCAACCUAAUUGUUGGACUGCGGGAGAUACUGUCAGGCUAGAGAACGGGAGAGGUCGACGGUACUCUCAGGGUAGGAGUGAAAUCCUAUAAUCCUGGGAGGACCACCAGUGGCGUAGGCUGUCGGCUAGAACGUGUCUGACGGUGAGGGACGAAAGCUUGGGGAGCGAACCGGAUUAGAUACCCGGGUAGUCCAAGCUGUAAACGAUGCGAGCUAGGUGUUGGGGUGGCUACGUGCCACUUCAGUGCCGCAGGGAAGCCGUUAAGCUCGCCGCCUGGGGAGUACGGUCGCAAGGCUGAAACUUAAAGGAAUUGGCGGGGGAGCACCACAAGGGGUGAAGCUUGCGGUUUAAUUGGAGUCAACGCCGGA
Molecule: ribosomal RNA, 943 nt
Filed under: uncultured archaeon
Lineage: Archaea
Description: bacterial SSU rRNA
Rfam family: Archaeal small subunit ribosomal RNA
Source: RNAcentral